AGAAGGUUCCGAGGGUCUUAGUGCUAGAGAUAGAAGAACAGUGAGGGAUGCCCUGGCCUUCCUUUGUGCUGCUGCAGCACGUGAGAACCUGGCGUUUAUACUCUCGCCCCUCCCUGACCUUCUUCUUGGUCUUCCCAACAGGGCGUGUCCCACUCUUUGGUUAAAGGACUAAGGGGGAGCCAGUCCCUGAUUGACAGUGCCAGUCCAGUCUGGGAGCCAGAGGGAAAGGGGGCGUGGCAAAGAGAAAAGCUCACAGCAUUGACUCCUCCCCUCCACUCCCUUCUCCUCCUUUCUUCCUUUCCCCUCCCCUCCUACUUCUGGCCUCUAUGACAUGAGCCCCUCCCACUCCUGAUGAGAUGAACUGAAACUCUGGAAACCCAGAAUAAACCUCUCUUAA
RNAcentral lists this long non-coding RNA (397 nucleotides) under Mus pahari (shrew mouse). RNAcentral's name for it is "lncRNA (MGP_PahariEiJ_G0004683.1)". The record is from RNAcentral. Lineage: Eukaryota; Metazoa; Chordata; Mammalia; Rodentia; Muridae.